AUUUAGCCCUUAUCGAAACGGCAUCCUUUUAUGCUGUCAUUGCGAGGAACGAAGCGAUUUUUAGACAGCAUAAAAGAUACAGUGGAGAGCAGGAAAUAGC
Molecule: small RNA, 100 nt
Filed under: Flavobacterium xueshanense
Lineage: Bacteria; Pseudomonadati; Bacteroidota; Flavobacteriia; Flavobacteriales; Flavobacteriaceae
Description: Flavo-1 RNA
Rfam family: Flavo-1 RNA
Source: RNAcentral